GCUGCAUUAGCCUAAUUGGUAAGGCACCGGUCUUGAAAACCGGCGUUGCGGUAAAACGCAUUGAGGGUUCGAGUCCCUUGUGCAGCG
Molecule: transfer RNA, 87 nt
Filed under: Lachnospiraceae bacterium
Lineage: Bacteria; Bacillati; Bacillota; Clostridia; Lachnospirales; Lachnospiraceae
Description: tRNA-Ser
Rfam family: tRNA
About the family: Transfer RNA (tRNA) molecules are approximately 80 nucleotides in length. Their secondary structure includes four short double-helical elements and three loops (D, anti-codon, and T loops). Further hydrogen bonds mediate the characteristic L-shaped molecular structure. tRNAs have two regions of fundamental functional importance: the anti-codon, which is responsible for specific mRNA codon recognition, and the 3' end, to which the tRNAs corresponding amino acid is attached (by aminoacyl-tRNA synthetases). tRNAs cope with the degeneracy of the genetic code in two manners: having more than one tRNA (with a specific anti-codon) for a particular amino acid; and 'wobble' base-pairing, i.e. permitting non-standard base-pairing at the 3rd anti-codon position.
Source: RNAcentral